GCUUCCUUGAAUGAGACACUCAUACGUGGUCAGAUAAGAUAAGGCUGCCUCUUAGAGAUUCAUAAACUACAUUAGUGACUUAAAGGCUCUGAUAAGUCCUGCAGUGAGAAGACCUGUUUAUAAUUUUGUUUUUAUUGGUACCAUACAAGAUCUUGAACUCUCCUGCUGUUUCUAGAUGCCUAGUCUCCCAAUGACCCCAUUUUACAGACGUGGAAAUUGAGACUGCAUGACUCACCCAAAGCCUCUGGAUUAGUAAGAUACUUAGCUGAGAUCUCAACAUGGGCUGCCAGACCCCACCUGUUAUGAAGCACCUACAAAAGAGGGUGGUGAAAAGCACU
Molecule: non-coding RNA, 338 nt
Filed under: Pongo abelii (Sumatran orangutan)
Lineage: Eukaryota; Metazoa; Chordata; Mammalia; Primates; Hominidae
Source: RNAcentral